UACGUAGGGUGCGAGCGUUGUCCGGAAUUAUUGGGCGUAAAGGGCUCGUAGGCGGUUUGUCGCGUCGGGAGUGAAAACGCCGUGCUUAACACGGCGCUUGCUUUCGAUACGGGCAGGCUAGAGGUAUGCAGGGGAGAACGGAAUUCCUGGUGUAGCGGUGAAAUGCGCAGAUAUCAGGAGGAACACCGGUGGCGAAGGCGGGUCUCUGGGCCGUAACUGACGCUGAGGAGCGAAAGCAUGGGGAGCGAACAGG
RNAcentral lists this ribosomal RNA (253 nucleotides) under uncultured bacterium. RNAcentral describes it as "partial 16S ribosomal RNA". It matches the Rfam family "Bacterial small subunit ribosomal RNA", at positions 524 to 776 of the family's 1533-position model. The record is from RNAcentral.